RNAcentral lists this ribosomal RNA (209 nucleotides) under uncultured bacterium. Its description in RNAcentral is "partial 16S ribosomal RNA". It matches the Rfam family "Bacterial small subunit ribosomal RNA", at positions 1284 to 1500 of the family's 1533-position model. The record is from RNAcentral.
AGCCUCAGUUCGGAUUGGAGUCUGCAACCCGACUCCAUGAAGCUGGAUUCGCUAGUAAUCGCGCAUCAGCCACGGCGCGGUGAAUACGUUCCCGGGCCUUGUACACACCGCCCGUCAAGCCAUGGAAGCCGGGGGUGCCUGAAGUGCGCUGCCGCAAGGAGCGCCCUAGGGUAAAACCGGUGACUGGGGCUAAGUCGUAACAAGGUACC